This 75-nucleotide small RNA is filed under the name Afipia carboxidovorans OM5. Its description in RNAcentral is "Oligotropha carboxidovorans OM5 Makes More Granules Regulator RNA (mmgR)". It matches the Rfam family "Makes More Granules Regulator RNA (mmgR)". Rfam says of the family: SuhB later renamed mmgR (makes more granules regulator) was a putative non-coding RNA found multiple times in the Agrobacterium tumefaciens genome and related alpha-proteobacteria. Other non-coding RNAs uncovered in the same analysis include: speF, ybhL, metA, and serC. Lineage: Bacteria; Pseudomonadati; Pseudomonadota; Alphaproteobacteria; Hyphomicrobiales; Nitrobacteraceae. The record is from Rfam by way of RNAcentral.
UAUCGCUGCCCUCCUUGGGCGUUUCCUCCCUAGACUUAGGCCACUCGUUCGCGGGUGGCCUUUUUUCUUGCCCGC